Molecule: RNA transcript, 5905 nt
Organism: Labeo rohita (rohu)
Lineage: Eukaryota; Metazoa; Chordata; Actinopteri; Cypriniformes; Cyprinidae
Gene: fmnl3
Gene name: formin-like 3
Exons: 27
Source: RefSeq, a predicted model, not a curated record
UGUAGAUGUGAUAGAGGGUGGGAUCAGUCGCAUGUCGAUAGCUUUCAUUUGUGGACGCAGUCAGUUAACAGAUGAGCACUAAUCGGGAUUACCCAAAACACAUCAUAAACAAAAAUCUACAACAUAAGCAAGAGAAGAGAGACAGCACAAAAAGAAGAAAUAAGACUCACUGCUUGACAUGGAUUGUCCAGACAUCUGCAGUACAAUACUUUUAAAAAGGACAUCAGAGUGAUACUUUUUUUUUAUUCACUUAGAUGAUUUAAAUCUAACGCAUUAGAUAUCUCAGCAUUUUUAAAGAUUCGUGCCGAUUAGGAAUCGGUUCUGAAACGGAUCACUUUUUCAUCCUUUUGAACUUUUUUGACAAAACCAAACAAAAGUGGAAUGUGAUCGCACGUAUUUGGAUGUAUAUCGGAUUUAUAAAGGGCGCCGGGAGGCAAAGAGUGAAUUAGACACAGAGCAUCUGAAUCCAGCAUCUGGACGAUAUUAUAAAAGUAAAAAUGGGGAAUAUUGAGAGUGUGGACGGGCAGUCUGAAAUGAAGCAUCAUAUCAUGCCCUUAAAAGUUCCCAUGCCUGACCAAACAGAGCUGGAAGAAAGAUUUGCCAUUGUUUUGAACUCUAUGAACCUGCCCCCGGAUAAAGCACGUCUCCUCCGGCAGUACGAUAACGAGAAGAAGUGGGACCUCAUUUGUGACCAGGAGCGUUUCCAAGUGAAGAAUCCUCCACAUACAUACAUCCAGAAACUACGUGGAUAUUUAGAUCCAAGAGUCACACGCAAGAAAUUCCGCAGAAGGGUUCAGGAAUCCACCAAAGUCCUGCGGGAGCUGGAGAUAUCGCUGCGAACCAAUCACAUAGGGUGGGUUCGUGAGUUCCUCAACGAUGAGAACAGAGGCCUGGACAUCCUGGUGGAGUAUCUCUCCUUCGCCCAGUGUGCUGUCAUGUUGGAUUUUGAAGGGCUGGAGAAUGGUGAGGACUUUUCGCUGGACAAGGCUAAGUCCUGGAGCAGGUCCAUUGAGGAUCUGCACCAGAAUGGCUGCAAUACGCUGGUGCGCUCUGCGCGGCAAUCCGUCCUCCGUUAUGGCUCAGCUGCCAACAGCAAAACUAUCAAGAACUCCAGAUUAGUCAGUCAAAAGGAUGACGUACACGUGUGCAUCAUGUGCCUCAGAGCAAUCAUGAACUAUCAGUAUGGCUUCAACCUUGUCAUGUCUCACGCACAUGCAGUCAAUGAGAUCGCCCUAAGUUUGAACAAUAAGAAUCCAAGAACAAAGGCGCUGGUCCUGGAGCUGCUGGCUGCUGUGUGUUUGGUGCGAGGAGGCCAUGAAAUCAUCCUCUCAGCGUUUGAUAACUUCAAAGAGGUAUGUAAAGAGAAGCACCGCUUUGAGAAGCUGAUGGAGUAUUUCCGUAGUGAAGAUGGGAACAUCGACUUCAUGGUGGCAUGUAUGCAGUUCAUCAACAUUGUGGUCCAUUCGGUGGAAGACAUGAACUUCCGCGUACAUCUGCAGUAUGAGUUCACUAAACUGGGGCUUGAUGACUUCCUGGAGAAAUCCAAGCACACAGAGAGUGAUAAGUUGUCGGUGCAGAUCCAAGCUUACCUGGACAAUGUGUUUGAUGUUGGAGGUCUGUUGGAAGAUGCUGAAACAAAAAAUGUGGCCCUGGAGAAAGUAGAGGAGCUGGAAGAACAUUUGUCACAUGUGACAGAGAAGCUUCUAGAUGUUGAAAAUGAGACGAUGAUGAAAGUGGCAGACCUGGAAAAACAGCUGUUACACAAAGACAAAGAACUGACAGUCAUAAAGGAAACGUAUGAGUCGGCCAGCUCACAGGUGCACACACUGCGGCGGAUGAUCCAAGAGAAGGAUGCCGCCUUCCAGAGGCACAACAACAUCGAGAAGCAAUUGCUGGAGCUGGAGCAGCAGGGCACCAUCCGUUUACGCAAGCAGCCUGAUGGGGAUAUUGCCAUUGAAGCUCUGGGUGGAGGAAGACUGCCUGGUGGAGCAGUGGCUGGAGCACCUCUGGGAGACCUGAGCUUGCUUGCUGCAAGCAUGAGUGGGAGUGGAGGCCUGGCUGUCACUUUACCUGCUCCUAUUGAAGCAGUUGCACCACCCCCACCACCACCUCCUCCACCACCCGCCCCACCACUCCCUUCAGAAGUUGAGUGUGUUCCUAUUCCUCCUCCACCUCCUCCACCUCUUCCUGGAGUAUCACCAUCAGUCAUCCUUAGUGUCGGCUUAUCAGCCAUACGCAUCAAGAAACCCAUAAAAACCAAGUUCCGCCUACCUGUCUUCAACUGGACUGCACUGAAACCCAACCAGAUUAAUGGCACCGUCUUCAACGAGAUCGAUGAUGAGCGUGUGCUUGAGGAGUUGGAUCUGGAGAAGUUUGAGGAACUGUUCAAGACGAAAGCCCAGGGUCCUGUGGUGGAUCUGUCAUGCUCAAAGAGCAAGGUUUCAACAAAGGUUGUCAACAAAGUUCAGCUGCUGGAUGCCAAUCGCUCAAAGAACUUGGCCAUCACUCUGCGCAAGGCCAACAAGACCACAGAGGAGAUCUGCAAAGCCAUUCAAACGUUUGAUCUAAAAGCCCUGCCAGUGGACUUUGUGGAAUGCCUGAUGCGGUUCCUGCCCACGGAGGCUGAGAGUAAACUACUGCGUCAGUACGAGCGUGAGAGGAGACCUCUGGACCAACUAGCAGAGGAAGACCGUUUCAUGCUCCUCUUUAGCAAGAUUGAGCGACUCACUCAGAGAAUGAGCAUCAUCACGUUUGUGGGCAACUUCAACGAUAAUGUCAACAUGCUGACCCCGCAACUCAACGCCAUUAUCGCCGCAUCAGCUUCAGUGAAGUCUUCUCCAAAGUUAAAGAAGAUACUUGAAAUCAUUCUGGCUCUAGGCAACUACAUGAAUAGUAGUAAAAGAGGCUCGGUGUAUGGUUUCAAACUCCAGAGUCUGGAUCUGCUGCUAGAUACUAAAUCUACUGACCGGAAAAUGACACUGCUGCACUACAUAGCUCUGGUCGUCAAAGAGAAAUAUCCUGAACUGGCUACCUUCUACAAUGAACUGCAUUUUGUGGAUAAGGCUGCAGCAGUCUCCCUGGAGAAUGUGCUGUUGGAUGUUAAGGAGCUGGGUAAAGGCAUGGAUCUGGUCAGGAGAGAGUGCAGUCAGCACGACCACGCUGUACUCAAGGGCUUCCUCCAGACCAGCGAUACACCGUUGGACAAACUACAAAAAGAUUCCAAGACUGCUGAGGAAGCCUUCAACAAUGUGGUGCUUUACUUCGGGGAGAGUCCUAAAACCACGCCACCCUCUGUUUUCUUCCCAGUGUUUGUACGGUUCAUCAGAGCCUACAAGGAGGCUGUGGACGAAAACGAACAGAGGAAGAAGCAAGAGGAAGCCAUGAGAGAAAAACUACUAGCACAGGAGGCCAAACAGCACGACCCCAAGGUCCAGGCUCAAAAGAAGCAAAAACAGCAGCAGGAACUGAUUGCAGAGCUCCGGCGCAGACAGGCCAAGGAUCACCGGCCUGUAUAUGAGGGCAAAGAUGGCACCAUUGAAGACAUUAUCACAGUGCUGAAGAGUGUGCCCUUCACAGCCCGCACGGCCAAACGGGGCUCUCGCUUCUUCUGCGAUACCAGCUUCUUCGACGAGUCCAUCUGCUAGCCCCCCAAACCCCCCAAAAAAACUGCCCUUAAUGCCGCAGGUUGUCCCGUUCUCUUACCAGUUGCAAAAUGCAUGCAUACAACCACUCGCAUGACCCAUUCUGUCACUCUGGUUACCCAGCAUCCUUUACUAACCUAAGCACAAUGGAAUAGUGGGAGAACUCAAGCUGUGGCUGUUCACAGUUAGGAAACACGGACCGGCCAAAUCUUUCUCAAGGGAAUUAUGACAAAUGGACAGAAAAUAAUAUAAUAUAAUAUAAUAUAAUAUAAUAUAAUCAUAUUUUGUACUGUAAAACUGUUGCUUGACUGAUGUUUACAUAUGCUUUUUUUUUUUUUAUUUAAUAUUAAUAUACUUUCUAUUUUGUCAUGUUGUCCAGAGAGAUUUGGCCUGUGUAACAGUCCUUAUUAUGUUUCACUUGGUUUGUCACCUGCUAACUCUCAUCUUCUCUCCCAUAACUCUUUGUUCUACCUUUCCAGCAGAACAGGGGAUAAAUCUGAGUAAAUUUGAGCACAAAAUAAUUGGAGGAUCUCCGAAGCCAGCCCUUCCUGCGAGCUGACGCGGUGAUCCGGAAUGGGUGGAAGCGACCCUAAAGACCCCUCACUCACUCACCCUCUGCUACUCUCCCCCCGCUUUCUUCUGAAAUGGCAUCUUCCUGCAAUUCACAGUGACCGAGGGAAGUGCAGGACCAAACCAGUGUCUUUGGUUUUAAAGGGGUGGGGAAGUUGUUAUUUAUUUAUGGAAAUCCUUUUUGGAUUCUGCACUGGAGGCUCUUUCAAUAAAGCCAUAAAAGCACAGACAUUAAGGGUGGCCCCACAAACGCUUGCACAUGCAAAUCCUGAGGAGCGCCUGUGAAAGCUUGUGUUGGCACAGGAAAAAAUGCUUGUUGUGGUUGACACACAGACAGCGGUAACACUAGCUUGCUGACCCUGAAGAGCCUUCCAUCGGGAUCUCACGCCCAUUAACGUGGAUUUCCUUUUAUUGUGCAAUGUAAGCAUGACUUUCUGUCUGAGGUCACUGACUUUCAGACCCGUUUGUACAGCUCGUUAUUAUCUAUGAACUCAAAUGAUUUGUUAAUCCUGUUCAACUACCUGGAGCAGACUCCAGUAUUUUAACCCAAUGCAGUACUAUGGUUACAAAGAAGUGCCUUUUUGUUGAGUCAGUAUUAUUUCUUAUAGCCAAUAUUGAUGUAUCUAAGUUCAUACUUGUUAUGUUGUAACAUUUCUGUUGCUUAAUGUAAAUAUAAUAUGCAUUUAUCCAGCUUUAACAAAAGAGCGGGAAGAAGUGCUCUAUUUAACUGAUCAUGUGCCUUGUUGAUGGUGCCUUCUUCAUCCAGCAUGUACCAGAACAAAGUGUACAUAAUGUUAUGCCAUGUUGUGAAACUUCUUAGAGAAAAACUCUCUGAUCCGUUCUUUACCCUACAGAUUUAUUAUGUAUAUAAAUGCAUUUCAUUGUUUUGAAAGAAUAUCCAAUGGGAAUCGCUCCAGGACUGUAAAGAUGAUAUAACAGAAUCUUCUGGGUGUGCAGUUUGUACUUGUUACCUCUAAACCAGUUGCCCGUGUUAGUACAAUGAAGGACAGUCGUUACGGUUUGGAGGACUUAAUUCAUUUGGUUUAACCAAAAAUUUAUGAUGAAUUUGCACUAUCAUUUAAUAAGCGGCGAUUAUCCAACUAGUGACUCGAUAUGAAAUUAGCUUUAUUUUAGCAAUAACUUACGCAAGGCCACGCUUUACUGUGAAUAGGUAUAUUCACAAUACAGUACGACCUCAAGUACUUAUUGUUUUUAUAAAACUAAAUGUUUUAGAUUUUAAGGAAAAAUUAUUACGUUAAGAAAAAUGCAUUACGUGGUGUCUUUCUGCUAGAUAAGACAAUAUUAGCCCUGACAACUGCUAUGCAACAGGAAGAAAACUUUGGCGCUGCAGGUGUUUAGCGUCAUAGUGUUUGGAUCGCUGAUUUGACUAAAAGGAAGCUAGGACAGGAAGUGUGCGCUUUAUAAGAAGGGACAUAUUACCAUAUGACUCAAGCUCAAAAAAGGAAUAAACUAAACACUAACAAUUUUUGUAGGUUCUUGGAGUUAUUCUUAGACUGAACUUUUUUUGUUAUAUAUAUUGUUGGACAUUACUAAAUCAAGCCAUUUGGGAGUAAACGCAAAGCACAAGAUGAAUGUACCAAAGUUUUAAUGUUAUUUGGUUGAAAUGGACCAAUGAAUGCAGCAGUUAACUGGAUAUUCUGUUGAUGUGGCAAAUAAAAAUAUUUGAGACUCGA